This is a long non-coding RNA of Pan troglodytes (chimpanzee), 217 nucleotides long. RefSeq lists it as uncharacterized. The record is from RefSeq and is a predicted model, not a curated record. The transcript is spliced from 3 exons. Lineage: Eukaryota; Metazoa; Chordata; Mammalia; Primates; Hominidae.
CAGGCAUGAGCCACCGUACCCGGCCUAAUUUAGCUCUUUCCAUCUGCUUGAUUUAGCCAAGGCCACUUUCCUGUAACUUUCCACAGGGCCAGUCCCCUUCAUUUGACCUGAUAACAAGAACUCGUGACUUUAACUGGACAAAUGAGUUUCUUCUCAGGGUGGCUACUCUACCAGGAGCACACAGAAGUGCUCAGCGCCCCCACCCAGCUCUCCUAGC